This is an RNA transcript of Gallus gallus (chicken), 9042 nucleotides long. It is a transcript of the gene named codanin 1, with no coding region annotated. The record is from RefSeq and is a predicted model, not a curated record. Lineage: Eukaryota; Metazoa; Chordata; Aves; Galliformes; Phasianidae. The transcript has 33 exons.
GGCGGCGGCGGCCGCGGCGCCCGGGAAUGGCGGCGGUUUUGGAGCUGCUGCUGAGCGAGGAGGUGGCGGUAGGCGCCGUGGUGCGGUGGCUGCGGCGCGCGCCGGGACAGCGCCCGCCUGAGGAGAACCACAUCCAUGACAAGCUGGUGUCGCUCAGUUUGCUUCAGAAAGACUUUGUGCCUUUUCUACUGAAUUUUUUAAGGGAGCAGACCAGCCAGAUACUGACUAAUGGGCCCUCCACUCCUGCUAAAACUCCCAAUUCCAAGGCCCAUAGGAGUCAAAGGACAGGACCAGAAAGGAGAGCAGGCCAUGCAACUAGCAGCCGAGUGCAGCUCUUUUCCCAAAGGACUCCGGUGACCUCCUGCACCACAGACACCAGCUUUUCUCCUGCUGCUGCAUCCAGUGGCUCCUCUUCCUUUUCUGGGUCGAACCUGUCAAGCCCUUGCAGUGACUUCCCCAGCGUGGUGUCCAGUAGCAGCCCGAGCUUUGGGUACAGCCCUGUGCUCACCCACAGUGAGAAGCGCUCGGCUCAGAAGGCCAACCUGGGGAGCUUCCUCACUGCUGCACCAGAGGCCUUACCGGCAAGGCGAGGCAGGAGGAAGGGCAGCAGCUCUGUCAGUGCCUCUGGCCGGCAGGUUGCUCGGGACCUGGGACGUUCCCUGGCCGAAGAGGAAGAUGGAAAGAAUGAAAGUGCAUCAUGGAGUGGAGGGAGAAGGAAGCGGAAUGAAGUGCCUCUUGUUACUGCUAGAUCCCCUCCCAGCCAGCUAAACCUUAAUAAUCUAGAGGAGUUCCCACCCAUGGGUACUGCCUCUGGCUGGACAAACAAAAGCAAGCCGUCAAGGCGAAUCAACCCAACUCCUGUGAGCGCUGAACGCCCACUUUCAAAGCCAAAGAUGUGCUUCACUUCAACGCCUGUCAGCCAGUCUCCAGCUGCACGAUUUUUGUCUGGGUCAAGCCCUGAGGCCUUUACCACUGUGCAGGAGGGAAACUCAACUUCUGUGAUAAGCAGCAGCCUUCAAGAGGAGAGGGAGAUGCUGAAGAAAGAACGAUGCAAGUUGCUGCACCAGGCAUCUUCUCCUGCAGGGAUAUCUCCCGAUCCUGGGACUCCUACUAAGCCCACCUACACUCGCAGUGCUAACCUUCCUGCUGAAAGCCAUCUGGUGACCUGCGCAGAUCCUGCAAAGGUUUCCUGCAAGAAACAGUUGGAGUGUCUGGCACAGCUCUACUCAUCAUGUAUAGCAGAAAACCUGGUACCAAAUAUUUUUCUGGAGCUUUUUUUUGUUCUGCAACUGUUAACAUCUAAAGGAACUUCUGCUUCAGAGGAAGAAGAGAGUGACCUUGAAGUCAGUGAAGGAAGUGAAGAUGCAUCAGGGAGACAGCACUUCCGAAGUGUGCACAAUUGUGUUUACUUUGCUGUUCAAGUCUUGGAUUAUCAAUAUGAAAUUAUUUCCCAUUUAGAAAAGGGGACACUGAAGUUCUUGGCUGAAAAUGAACGGAUUGCAUCUUUUUCUCCCACCCUGCAUGAGAGGCUCAAGCAGGCGUAUGAAAGCAGCACAGCCAAGGUGUCUCUGCUGCUGCCGUGCUCUGUGCAAUCUGUUUCUUUCCAGCCAGAAACCGACAAUCGCUCUAACUUUCCCACUGACAGAGCAUUUCACAUAUUUAAGAAACAAAGGGACAUCUUUUAUGAACUGCUGCGUGAAUGGGAGGAUAACCAUGAAAAACCUGGCUGGGACUUCGAAAGAGUUCUGGGCAGCAAGAUCAGGGCCAUGAUGGCUCACCUGUCUGCAACCUGUAACCACAGCCAUUUUGCCAGGCUCUUUCAGAAGCAGCUCACCCAGAUGUGUAAAGAUCCUAUUGGUGGUGGUGCGAGCUGGGGAGACACUCCAGACCAGGAUGUCCUUAAUAUGCUGGGUCCUGAUAAUCUGAGCCGUCUGAAGAGGUUGCAGGAAAGAUUUGUUGUUCCUCAAAGCAUCAGGGGACCUUGCCCACCUCCUUCGUUCCCAGGGUGCCAGCAGUUCUUCAGGGACUUCAUCCUCAGUGCAGGAAGUUACCAGUUCAAUCAGCACCUGGUGGAUAGCCUGUGCCUGAAGAUACUUGAGCUAGAUGGCCUUACUCUGGUGGAGCAUGAGCACAGUGAUGGGGAAGCAGAUAUGGAUGAACAGGAUGAAAAGAAGCGUUUCACUGUGGUACUGUUAAGUUUGAGACUCCUUGCCAAGUUCCUGGGCUUUCUUGUGUUCUUGCCAUAUCGCACUGUGGAACAACCUACUAGAGACCUGCAAGACACUGCAGUAGCAUUGAGGAACCAAACUUUGCCUGUACUGGACAUAUUGAAGCUUCUGAGACGAUCCAUUAGGAAUCAGCGUUCUGUCCUCACUAUUCCUUGGAUCGUGGAGUUUCUUUCCCUUGUGGAUCAUAUCGCUCCUUUCCUUGAUUACUAUAGGAAGGUAUUUUGUCUUUUGCUGCAGAUAUACAGGCUAAUGGUCCUUUCUGAAGAUAAAGAGAUGAGUUUCCUGAACAAACUGCUGAUCCUUGCAGUUCUGGGUUGGCUUUUUCAGGUUCCAUCGGUCCCUGAAGAGUUGUUUUUUGCCACAGAUGUCAGGCAGGAGGGAUUGGUGAUGGAUACUGUGACAUCUGCUCAAGCUUUGGACUCUGUGCCCUUGGUGGAUCAGCAGUUACUUUAUACCUGCUGCCCCUAUCUUGGAGAGCUGCGGAAACUACUUGCCUCUUUUGUGGCUGGUAGUGGAGUAAAAAAUGGUGGCUUUAUAAGGAAAAUCACUCCAACAGCUGCAGAGUCCUUGGCACCAAAGACUUCCAUUACACAGCAGAAACUGCAGGUAGAGCUGGAACAGGCCUUCUUCCACAACCAGCCUCCCUCUCUACGGAGAACUGUUGAGUUUGUGGCAGAGAGAGUGGGAUCCAACUGUGUUAAGCACAUCAAGGCAACACUGGUAGCAGAGCUGGUUCAAAGGGCUGAAGUCAUGUUGCAGGAUAAAGUGAAGGAGGAGGAUGCUAAUCAUGAUAAGCUGCUUGAAGAGGUGUGCGCUCAUCUGUAUGAUGAAGGAGCCCAGGCACUUAUUAAAGGCAGAGAAUUUUGCAAAAAGAAAGGUCCUGAGGCAGUAAGGGUCUUACUGCCAGAAGAAACGUCUGCAGCAGUUUUGAGUAGUGCAGAAGACAUAGCAGUGGAGCUGGCUACUGAGAAGGCCUGUGGCUGGCUUUCUGCCAACAUUGCAGCACUGAUUAAAAGAGAAGUGAAGGCAACAUUAAACAGAAUGCUGAAAGUCCCAGGACUUCCCUUGCCCCAUGAGGAUGCUCGGGAGUUGAGAAAGGACUGCUCUCCUGGUUGUCUGCACCGUGCACCAUUUCCCUCUCAAAUAAUCAAUGAGAUUAAGGAUGUGCUCUGCGUCGCUGUGGGCCCACGGGAUGAAGGGGAAGUGAUUGACCCUGGCUGGCUGGAGUGCUUGCUGGGAAGACUGAGUCAGACGCUUCGGUGCAGAAAGUUUGCAGGGUGGGGACAAAGAUGCAACUCUUGCUGUGUUUUUCAGUUCAUGUGUCCCACAUCAGAACAGCAGCUGGCAAAGUGCACGGUUGAGUUGGCUUCUUUGCUGGUUUCAGGUCGUGUUCCUCUCAGUCUUGGGAUCAAGCCCCCAGAGAAGAGCUCCGAGAGGCUCCGAGUGAAGAAUAAUCCCACAUAUGACCUUCUGAAGCUGCUGCUUUCUGUCUGGAAGGAGGAUUUUGGGACACCUGUUCCUGUGCAGCUGAUGUUCAGCAGGAAGAACAUUGGCUAUCUUGCGGAAGUGAAGCAGCAAGAGUGGGAUUUGUUCCAUUUCAUCCUUCGUGGUCUUGUAGAAUGUGACCUAAUGCAAACCAGUGAAAUAGAGAGUUGCUUGCGUAGCCUUGAAGAGCUCCCUUGGCCCUCAGAUUUCUUAAAAGCUCUGGAAAGCGUUUCCAGUUUAUUUCUAUCGGAGCAUCUUAUAGAAGAGCCCAGGAGUAACCCCUGUGACCUGACCAGACACUCUCUAGCAACAGACCGUGGUCAAACCAGGAAUCAAGUCGAAUGGACAAGUCCCUUUGUGAAGCAGGGGGAUUGCUUCCUGGUGACUGGCUCGUCUCUGAACUGAAUGUGAUUUCUUGCCAGGGGAGGGAAAAGUAAUCUACGUAGUUCCUGGGUGUCUCACAUUAAUUAUCCUUGGUGGCUUUGGGAAGCCAGGCACCUGACUCUGCAGCCAAGCCUUGCAAAGAAGCGUGCAGCACUCUGGGCAAGUAGGAGACCGUCGUCCUUUAUCACAAGCUAACCUUUUUGGCUUCAUCCAGGUAAGCGUUCACUGAGUAGAAGACCUUCUCCUUCACAUGUAAGUACAGUUCCAGAUAGCUAUCUUAACUGGAGCAAAUACCACAGGGCAUUUUUUUCUUGUGUAGAAAAUACAUUUUAUUGUGGAUAUGAAAAUAGCAAUCUUGAUUAAGAGCAGAGAUGCAACAGCAGGUGGUACAGAUGCUUGGUCUGAUCAUCUACUGCUCAGCAGUAAAUUGACAGGAAGUUGGGUUUUUCCCAUUGUAGUUUAACAAAGUAGAUGAUGUCUGCUAAGUUUUAUUUCUUCCUUCCCAACAAACCAUUACCAUACAUUAACAGGUACCAAAAAAUGUUAUAUUUGCAAAAGAAAACAUCCAUAUAAAUAGGCUUUUUAGUAUUAAUUGACAAUUGUAUUAAAAAAAAAAAGUUACAUUAAUACUGAUAAAAAUAAAAAUUAGCUUUGGUAGCAUAUAAAAAUGUUUCAAAACAAGCAUAUAUAAAUAACUUAAUUUGUAAACAUAGAAAAACCAAUCUUAUGUAUAUAUAAAAAUAAACAUCUGAUGCACUGUACAAUAAGACAUUAUCCUUCAUAGGCACUGGUUUCAUUGACACAGGAGUCCCCCUAGAUGGUUUUCCUACAAAAACUGCUUUAACUCUAGUGCCGUGUCCAAAAUAAAAGGGAAAAAAAGCGAAGCACUGAGCACAUCUUUUGUGGACUGUCUGAAGGCCACUCAUCUCCUCCUGCAAUCCCUGCUGGAAGCAGCACUGGUGACAGCCAAUAAAUACACCUUGCUGCAGUUCCUGCUCACUUUUUCUAGGGUUUUAAUGUAUUACCUUGUUCAAGCUUCUUUGUUUUGUCUCCCCCCAGAAGGUACGACAGGCUGCAAAUCUGGACAGCUGCCUUUUGGUGUAGUUGCUGAGGCUGUGGAACACGUGCAGUGCUGCAGAUGAAGCAUACCCUGACGCAGCUUGGCAGGCUGCUAAGGAAGGCUGAGCUUCACACCCCAGGAGAACGGAACCUGUGACCAAACACUUGAAGCUUGACAACAUGAGCAUUGGACAGAGCUCAAGAGCAACAAGAUGCUGUUGAAUAUUCCAGUUUCUUGAUCAACACUAACUGGCAAGGAAGUGUGCUAGUCGAGCAAUGACCAGAGGCUGCCGCUUAGCAAUGGAGCUCAGGAGCUGUGCUGGGAUAGCUGGGGCACCCAGAUCCACCUGUACAAGGCUCAAGGAUCCAUGCGCUGGGCAAAAUUUCCCCUCUCACCACAUCUUCACAAGGGUGAGGCAUGGAUGCAUCGUACACUGACUGAAUAGCCAAGACAGACAAGUUCUUCUGCAUGAAAGAAAGUGUAAUGAAGAGAAAUUCAAUUUUUUUUUAUGCAUGCAGUAUUGCUUUGUUUAUCAUGAGGCAUAUUUCUCACUAAAUAAGCUCUUUUUUUUUUUUUUUGUCGGAAUCCUGCUUGUUUGUAACUAGAACAUGCUGUAACAGUUGUGAAACAAGCACCUUUAGGCAGUAACAAAUGUGGAUUUAAUACAUAAUCCAUUUCUGUCAGAUGAGCAUAGCUUUUCUUCGUAUUACAGUUUUCUCUGGAACUAUGAGCAUAACCUUCCCUUUCUUCUGCUCUUGAACAGUGAGUUCAGACAUGUUAGUUGUUUGUUAGUCUCCUCUCUCUUAGAGAAAGCAAACAUACACUUACCUCUUUGGCUUCUACAGUAAUGCAGCAGAAAUCCCGUGGCUGCUGUAGGUAACACAGGGAGGUAUCAGUCACUAAAUACACUGCAGAAAAAGUAUCCAAAACCAACAACAAACAAAGGGGGAAUUAAUUAGGCUUUGGCAACUUUAACUUGUCACAAUUCCCCCCAUCCUUCAAAUGAACAAACAAAUCUUAUUUGAACUUGUUGCAGUUAAGAGCAAAGUUCUAGCUAACAUGAAGAUGCUAAUAUUAAGAUACUGUAAUUAAGAUGAUACUUUUUUGAAGUACUGUUAUCUUACACUUCUGCAGCAUAUGAUUAGUAAUAGCUGUGCUUUGAAAAAGUCUUGCAAAAUGGAAAUUCCUGCACUAAAUAACAAAACUGGUUAUUCAAGUCUGAAGAAACAAGAUAAGAUGACUGUACAUUUCCUUCUGGCUAAUCUGAGCUGAAAAGUCCAUAAUACUAGUUCUGGUCCGUCAAUGAUGCUGGUACUCACCCAGCUGAAUGUGGCUGGUUAUCUUCUUGUGUAUUCGAGCUGUGUUGAUGGAUCUAUCGUACAGAUGCCUUUUGCCCAGAUCUCUCACUAGACCCCACACAUACGCAAGAGGUCUUUCUAUCACUCCUGCUCCCAGAAAUCCAUGUUUCGUAGCUGAAGGGAAGACUUUGUAGUAAACCAGCACCUCUUUUUCUGUACAUUGGUAUCUGUCAAAGACAAACAGAAGAUAUUGGCACAAAAGAUGGUCAGCUGCAUUAAAGAUGUCCCAUUAUCAAGUCCUCCCAUAAACUUACUUCCAGCCAGCUGCUGCUUGGCAGGUGUAGAGAUUCCUCAGGUUAUGAGAGCAUGCUGCCAUUACCUUAGAAAACAGUGACAAAUGUACAUGUAAGUGAAAAUUGUCUAAAUUUUAAAAUAUGAAGUUUGCAUGCUUUCUUUCUGGCUACACAGCCAUACAGAUAUAUAAAGCCUGCACUGUGCAAACCCUUAGGAGCUAGAAGCGUUCAGCAUUAGCACCAGCUUCACUGUUACAGCCUCUUUCUUCCCACUGUUUAAAAUUGCUCGGCAUAUCCUGCUAUACCCAGCACUGAAUAUCUACUAGGAGUGCAGAAGAAUAAGGUUUAUCUCACAAACUUUCAGUACAACAUGCAGUAGAAGGUAGAGGAAUAAGCAAAAACUGUGCUUAUUUACUCACCUCAGUGGUAGCAUUAGCCAAGAUAUGUUUGGAUAAAUCUUGGUAUCCUUGUGUUGAUGAGGAGCUUACUGUAAUAGUUAAUCCAUGAGUGAACCUACAACUGAUGCUGUCUGAAGGAAGUGGUGGCUCAAUUCUGCUGUCUUCUGCGGGAGACAAAAUAGUCAUAGGACAGUAAUAAAAAGGAAAAUGAUAAUUGAAGUGGUGCAGAAGAUGUAGCGUUGAGCAGUUAGAGGGACUUCAACCCUCCGAAAAAAAGACUGUUAGCAUCCUUUGUCUGGACAGCCCACAUAUUGGUAAUUACACUGCAGUUACAUUUUGCGUUACUUAAGUUUAAACAUUAUAUAAGCUAAUAACCUAAAGAAGAAUAUGAAACAUGACUCUGGGAAUACAAAUUACAAUCCUAUACUCUUUGCAGCCCUAGUCCCGUGCUUCUUUGGUUCAUUCAAGACAUUCUCCUCCUCACAGCCUCUCCAAAGACUGUACAACAAUGCUACAACAUCAAAAGACCAACUUACUUAAGAGGAACUAAAUCUCCGAUUACUUUUCCAAGUUUUAGCUAGUGGUUGACAGUAUUUUUUUCUGAAUUCAUGUAAUGGUAAGACAGCUUCAAAAUACUUACAGUCAACACAGAAACAAGCAGAUGGACAAACGCUUUACUUACCCAGUGUUGAAUCCUUCUGUAGUUGCUCUAUCAUAAAAAGCUGACUGUUUCUAACAGCUGAACGACCUCGUGUGUCUCUUGAAAGCAAUGCACUUCCAGAAGAAAACUGGUUAAGGAAAGAGCAGAAGUGGGGACUUUUGGCUUGAACCAAGAAAAAUAAAUUGUUACAUUAUCAAGAGGAAUAUCCAUAACCAACCUGCCUUUAUGAAACUGGAAGCUUGACUUUAUGAUAGGUUAGUUCCUUUGCCUUUCAGCUGGUUAUGAAAUGAUAGCUCAACUCAAGAAGUUCAGCAGACCAAGUAUGACAAGCUAGCAUAGGUGUACGCUCCAAAAAGCAAUUUAAAUUAAGUUCAAGUCCAUGCAUGCAUCUCUCUUCAAUGAAGAAAGCACAUUGAAAAUACUAGAUCCUGGCUUAUCAGAAAAAAACAUUCCUUACUGCUAAAAUGUGUCACAGUGGCAUCGCUGUCAGCAGUAACAUCAGCUUUUACUUACAAGUUAAAAAAAAAAAAAAAUCAGAAAAAUGCAAUUAUCACAGUCCUUUGCAGUACAUGUAAAGGCUUCCUCCUUGCCCAUGUAACCCAUCUGUGUGUUAGUGACACAGCUAUCAAGCACGACAAGUUCGUGAGAGAAUAUAAACCACCUAGAAUGUGGUUUCUGUCCCUGUUAUCUCUCCGUUACUGUUAACGCAUUAGGGGACAUUGGUCUUGUAAGACAUUUGUUUCUCACCUGUCCUUCCCAGCUGCUGAGUUUACUUGCAGUGUAUGUAGCAGUAUUGCUGCUGUUGUAACCUGAUGUUGGGCCAGAGGAUAGGCUGAGGCUGGAUUCUGUACAUAAGGUGCUUGUACUUGCAAGAGUCUUCAGCCUUGCUUCCUCCUGUAAUAGAGAUCAGAGCAUCACAAACUCAUACAGCACUUAGUCAAAUCAGUAACAGCACUGGAAGAUCACAGGAAUAAUACAAAGUCCAUUUUCUUUCAAGGAGUGUUGACAAAAGCUGUUAUCUUUUGCUUCAUACAGAAGGUAUUUAAUAAGCAGGUUCAUUUGAAACUGUAAGAUUAUAUGAGCAAAUCAGUGCAUCAGUCUAAGAAAAUGUGGAUAACUGCAGCUUCUGACAUUGUUCCUUUGCUACAAGAAUGCGGGCUUUCAAACCAAUUCCUGGAUGUCUUAAAGGGGAAAGGAAGUUUAAAAAAAAAAAAUAAAAUCUUUUGUCAGUCCCA